GCUUCUUUUGAAAUCCUCUCCCCUUCUUCUUCUCUGUCUUUUCCUUCAUCCUGGUUCUUGGCAUCAUGGCCAGGACUUCUCCUCGGGGAGCUCAGUCGGGGAAUCCGACUGAUGAUCUUCGGUCGACCCCAGAAGUGGAGGUCUCUUCACUUUCGGAGCCGAAUGUCGAUCGGCUUCGGGAUCAGUAUUGUAUCCCGGAGCAGUUCCGACUCUUCGCCCCU
This 221-nucleotide long non-coding RNA is filed under the name Elaeis guineensis (African oil palm). RNAcentral's name for it is "long non-coding RNA (EGUI_LNC078036)". Lineage: Eukaryota; Viridiplantae; Streptophyta; Magnoliopsida; Arecales; Arecaceae. The record is from RNAcentral.